This 645-nucleotide ribosomal RNA is filed under the name uncultured bacterium. RNAcentral describes it as "bacterial SSU rRNA". It matches the Rfam family "Bacterial small subunit ribosomal RNA", at positions 810 to 1454 of the family's 1533-position model. The record is from RNAcentral.
UGAGUGCUAAGUGUUGGAGGGUUUCCGCCCUUCAGUGCUGCAGCUAACGCAUUAAGCACUCCGCCUGGGGAGUACGACCGCAAGGUUGAAACUCAAAGGAAUUGACGGGGGCCCGCACAAGCGGUGGAGCAUGUGGUUUAAUUCGAAGCAACGCGAAGAACCUUACCAGGUCUUGACAUCCUUUGACCACUCUAGAGAUAGAGCUUCCCCUUCGGGGGCAAAGUGACAGGUGGUGCAUGGUUGUCGUCAGCUCGUGUCGUGAGAUGUUGGGUUAAGUCCCGCAACGAGCGCAACCCUUAUUGUUAGUUGCCAUCAUUCAGUUGGGCACUCUAGCAAGACUGCCGGUGACAAACCGGAGGAAGGUGGGGAUGACGUCAAAUCAUCAUGCCCCUUAUGACCUGGGCUACACACGUGCUACAAUGGGAAGUACAACGAGUUGCGAAGUCGCGAGGCUAAGCUAAUCUCUUAAAGCUUCUCUCAGUUCGGAUUGCAGGCUGCAACUCGCCUGCAUGAAGCCGGAAUCGCUAGUAAUCGCGGAUCAGCACGCCGCGGUGAAUACGUUCCCGGGCCUUGUACACACCGCCCGUCACACCACGAGAGUUUGUAACACCCGAAGUCGGUGAGGUAACCUUUUUGGAGCCAGCG